UCAGAUGAAACUAGUUCUCUGUUUGAGUUCUCAUGGGCUGUUCCGAAACUCUCUCCUGCAUUCUUCUUUGCUUCUUCAAUUUCCCUCUCAAAUUUCAUAGAAUGCUUCACAAGAAUUCUUCUAAGUUCUGGAAUAGACUCCACUGGAUUUAUAUUACUGCUCAAGGUUCCCAUUCCAUCAUUAACUUCAUUGGAACCGUCCCUUUCUCCUUCCUUGGGUACAUUCUUCUGGGCAUUCUUGGCUUCCAGCACCUCUUUUUCGAGUUUGGUCAUGUGCUUAACCAGAUACUUAUCUAGACUUGGGAACUCCUCCAACUCAGCUUGCUUCUUUCUUACAUUUCCAUCCAUGAAACUCUCUCCUGCAUUCUUCUUUGCUUCUUCAAUUUCCCUCUCAAACUUCAUAGAAUGCUUCACAAGAAUUCUUCCAAGUUCUGGAAUAGACUCCACUGGAUUUAUAUUACUGCUCAAGGUUCCCAUUCCAUCAUUAACUUCAUUGGAACCGUCCCUUUCUCCUUCCUUGGGUACAUUCUUCUGGGCAUUCUUGGCUUCCAGCACCUCUUUUUCGAGUUUGGUCAUGUGCUUAACCAGAUACUUAUCUAGACUUGGGAACUCCUCCAACUCAGCUUGCUUCUUUCUUACAUUUCCAUCCAUGAAACAUUCAAGCCUGCUCAAGGUUCCCAUUCCAUCAUUAAGUUCAUUGGAACCAUCCACUUCUCCUUCCUUAGGUGCGUUCUUCUGGGCAUUCCUGGCUUCCAGCACCUCUUUUUCGAGUUUGGUCAUGUGCCUAACCAGAUACUUAUCUAGAGUUGGAAACUCCUCCAACU
RNAcentral lists this long non-coding RNA (823 nucleotides) under Carica papaya (papaya). RNAcentral's name for it is "long non-coding RNA (CPAP_LNC006597)". Lineage: Eukaryota; Viridiplantae; Streptophyta; Magnoliopsida; Brassicales; Caricaceae. The record is from RNAcentral.